CCCUUAGAUGUCCUGGGCUGCACACGCGCUACACUGACACGUUCAACGAGUUUUGCCUGCUCCGAUGGGACUGGGUAAUCUUAUGAAAGCGUGUCGUGAUGGGGAUAGAUUAUUGCAAUUAUUAAUCUUCAACGAGGAAUUCCUAGUAAGUACAAGUCAUCAGCUUGUGCUGAUUACGUCCCUGCCCUUUGUACACACCGCCCGUCGCUCCUACCGAUUGGGUGAUCCGGUGAAUAACUCGGACUGCAGCUAUUCGGGAGACCGUUAGCUUGUGGAAAGUUUAGUAAAUCUUAUCACUUAGAGGAAGGAGAAGUCGUAACA
RNAcentral lists this ribosomal RNA (321 nucleotides) under uncultured eukaryote. Its description in RNAcentral is "partial 18S ribosomal RNA". It matches the Rfam family "Eukaryotic small subunit ribosomal RNA", at positions 1470 to 1796 of the family's 1831-position model. The record is from RNAcentral.